GCGGGGUCGGCGGGGUGAGCGGGGGCGGCGCGGGCAGUGGGGCGGGGGUCGCCAGCCGCUAUUGGGCGGCGGGCAAGCUGCCGCACCUGCCCGCGCCCUCCUAGCGCCCGCCAUCCGCGCGCCGCCUGGCGAAGGUGUCGUCGCUAGAGGCGCCGCGGCGCGCGGCGGCGGGCCCCGCGCGGCUCGACCUCGAGCGGCGCAGCCUCGACCUCGAGCGGGAGCUGCGCGCCGAGCGCGACUCUGACGCGUCGCUCGACGAGCGCGACCACCUCGUGUGAUUACCGACCCGCCCGUUUGCGCUCAGCGCCAUCUACGAAGUGAGCGUGUGAACUGACCGACCCGCUCGCUUUGAGAACAGCGCCAUCUAUCGACCGAACAGUGAUAGUGAUGUGAAAGUUUGAAUUCCGCGCGCAUUUCUUCGUGUCACGUUGCCGUGCUUUUGUUUUGAUGUCGAUUUAAAAAAAAAAUACUACUUUAUGUAGACCUUUUGUAUCGUUUAAUACUCGUGUAAUGUUCAUUUUAUAAGCUGAAACAUACAUCGAAUUGUAUUGUUGCACCUCAUCGGUCGAAUGAUAUAAAAAUAUUGUUAACAUUAUAUAUAUAUUUGUCACAAUUCACAUUCGAUUCGACUGUUCUGUGAAAUUGUACUCGUUGUAGGUAUAAUUAUUUACAUGUUCCUAUUAAUAGUGUACUCCUUGUGUAACACCAAACGUGAAAUUAUAAAACAGACUACAUUAUUCGCAGUAGAAAAGAUAAAUUUAGUGUAGCUAAUUAUACCUUUUGUCCUUUUUGGACUCGAGAAUAAUCUAGUUUGUUUUGCGACUUCCCGUUCCACGGCAACGGCGGCUACGAGCGGCCGCGAGACAUUUUCGCUUGGCGGCGUGCGUUAAAAAGAAUCUAGUGCGUAGUGGCAAAAUUGAUCUCAAUAAAUAAAAUAAAGACUACGAAAUGAAACGUAAAUAAAUACGAAAAAAUUUAGUGGAAUUGUGCGAGUAACCUAUCGUGUUUUACUGUUUUCUAUGUAUUAUACAUGUAACGUAAGGACAUUGUGUCGUUAUUAGUGCCUGCUAAGUCUGGUUUAGUGUUAGGAACCUCGACCACUGUUUAAGGAUACUCUUUAAACAAACCGAACGACUUGAAAACUUUCGAGAGUUUAAUUUUUCCCAGCUUCACGCUUCACGUACAAAUGAAUUCUUAGAAUCUUGCACCGAUGAUACGCAAGAUUUUAACAGAAUUUAAAAUUAAAAAUCGAGUGCGACAAAGCGAUCACUUUUUAUAUAUAGUUAAUAAAAAUUAUCUCUCGAAACAUUAGUUUAAGUGAACUAUUAAUGUGUGUGACUAAACAAUUUUCUACUGAAUCAAAAAUGUUUUAAUUUUAAUUUUAUAACUCGACUUCGUGUAGUUAUAUCCAAGUGAUGUAUUUCGCUGUAUUUCAUAGUGAAACGGUGACCUUAUUAUUGGAAUUCUUAAUGGAUAUAAGGGUAGAUAGAUACAAGGCCUUCUAGUUAAGGAGCUAAGCGAUUUUGUUUGUGAAUAGGCAUAGUUGUGAUUUUAAUGUUGUAUACAGUGGAUUGUAGACGAGUAUUUUAUUUAUGUCGGCCAUUGUUUAUCAAAUAUAUGUGUUAAAUGGAAUCUGUUCUGGUUUGGACUGUUUUGAAAUUAUAACUAACAUUUGUUGAUAUGAACCCGUAAGGUUACGCGUUACGCCUUUAUUAAAAAGCAGACUGUCCUACGAGAAAAAAGUUUUGAAAUAAUUUGAACCAGAUAUAUAAUUAGUACAUAAACGGCAUUUUAUUUAUCAUAACAAAAUGUUCCUUUUUUAAUGUACAGUCAAACAUAUCAAUGCAUGAACAAACGUGAAAUGAACAAUAAUUGAUUUUAUGUUGAGUUUACUCGUGCAAUUAUAAUUAAGUGAUGUUUAAACAGGUUUUGUCCCUAUUUUGUAUUUCAUUGCAUGAUAGUUCCAUAAUAUGGCGGAACGGCGUUGCUAAAAAUGAUAAAAAUAGAUAGAAAUAGACAGAAUAAUCAGUAGGUAUAUAAAGCUAUUGUUAUGUUCUUGCAAUGCGCCGUCAUAUUAUGUCGGAUAUAUUGAGAUCUUUUAUCAAUAAAAGUGCUUCAACCCCGUGCAAUAUGUUUGACAUAAAUAUAAUUUUUUUUUAUUGCUUAAUUUGUCUUCCUAUGAUAAUUGUACCAAUUGCAAAGGCCUACUGUUAUCUGUAUAAUCGUAAUGCAUUUUUAUUUUCGUUUAGUUUGUAGUUGAUUUCUUUUUCAUUAUGUAUGUGAUUACAUAGUAAUAAUAGUUUUUAAAUGAAAUGCACACGAUUAUUGUGAUUUUGUAUAUGCGAGAUUUAGUGAGGCGAAAAUUACCAGUGUUGAAAAUGAAAAGAACAAAGCGGUCAAGGAAUUUUUGAAAGUGUUUCAUAUUGGAGUUUUAUUUUGCAUUUAUAUUAUUGUUUUUUUUUUAUGAUUUUGGUCCUUCGAAUAUUUCGCAAUACAAGUGCGCACAAUCAGUAUGAAGACAUUUAUUUUACGUUUAAUAGAACAUUCAAGAAGCUAUUAACCAAAUAAAAGUGUUUAACUGAUUGGAUGUGUGUAUAAAUGGUAAUUCUAAUCUACUAGUAAAUUAAAAUGUACUGUGAUCAUUUAGAUUUAAAAAUAACUUUAAAUUUCUAUCAUUGGUAAUUUUCGUAAAUAUAAUAUGCGGUUAAUGGGAGUCGUUUUCGAGAUUUAUGACUAAUCGCGUGUUUUUAAAAUUGACAGUGACACUAUACUCAACGUAGCAUUUUCGGCUAUCAUUUAGAUUUGACUGCCUUUCGUUUAUUAUGCUCAAUAGAUUGUAGUGGUCAAAUAAACUCGUUUAAGUACAGACAGGUGGCGAUUCUAGUUUAUUUUUUACCCAGAUAGCUGUUUAAGGUAUAUAGUCAAUUACUAUAGCUUAUUUUAACUGGAAUGCUGGUUGAUUGCGGUUUGUAGCCGAUCAAUAAAUGACGGUAGUUUUCGAAAACUUAUUGGCAAGACUGCAGCGACAUCUGGAGUGAUUCAUCUGAAUAGCGUUUUGUUUGCAACGUGGAGUAUGGAAACAUGUAAAUAACUUUUGUAAAUUGUAAUAUGAAUUAAUUAUCUCACGUAUAAGUUUGGAUUUUUAUUUGUAUUAUUAUAUUUACGACUCAAAUACUUUUUUAUCUACCACUUUGUCAUGUCUCUGCUUGCGUAUUCCGUCCAAUGAUCUACUCUUGCCAUUUGACAAUUCUUUUUCUGUAACUUUUAGAUAUAAAUGUUCAACGUCUUAGAGUAGGGAAUGUCCGCCGCCAUUAAACUCUAUCGACAAGAAAAUAUAUCCAGUUAGUUAAGUACAAACGAUUCGAGCGGAACUCUAUAGCGAAUGUAAAGGCGAUGGUUCACUCAGAUGGCGCCACAGUCGCUCCGGUCUCCACUUGGCAUUGAACAGUAUUAAAAUAAUUUUUCGUUGAAAGUCUCGCAUCGCUACUGCCAAGUACAUUUAAUUAAUUAUAAGUUAAAUUUGCUAUAUCACAGUUUACAUAUAGCAAAAGUCUAGUUACUAUUAUUAUAUAGCUUUCGUUCGACCGCUGCAUUUCUCUUAUACCCUAGUUAUUUUGUAACAUUGUGUUCUCAUUUUGUAUCUAAAGCUGCUGUUUCACGUGUUGAAACUCGUAGCGACAAUGUGAAUACUAUACAAUUUAAAUAAAUGAAUUAUAUAAUGAA
Long non-coding RNA from Zerene cesonia (dogface butterfly), 3723 nucleotides. RefSeq lists it as uncharacterized. The record is from RefSeq and is a predicted model, not a curated record. NCBI's taxonomy places the organism in Eukaryota, Metazoa, Arthropoda, Insecta, Lepidoptera, Pieridae. The transcript has 2 exons.